RNAcentral lists this long non-coding RNA (1472 nucleotides) under Capra hircus (goat). RNAcentral describes it as "lncRNA (ENSCHIG00010011952.1)". Lineage: Eukaryota; Metazoa; Chordata; Mammalia; Artiodactyla; Bovidae. The record is from RNAcentral.
GCGAGGCCUUAACCAGGCCCUGAGGACACAGCAACCUGGGAGCUGGGAUGGCGGGCAGGCACCAGGCCCUGUAGGGGAGCAGCCCUGGGUGCAGGAGCCGCCACAGUCAGCCUGGCGCAGAGACGCGUCUGGGCGGGAUAUCUGGGGGAUGCAGGAAGGUGGGCUCUGGGUCGGAGCCACGUUCCAGUCUCUCCGGGAGCCUCCCUGGGACUCAAAAGCUACUGCCACCCUCUGCACUGGCUGACCAUUAGGAAAUUAAAUCAGCUGGCAGAGUGCUGGGCCCUCAGCCAGUGCCCAGUGAGGGCUCCAAUUCUGCUCUCAGCCCCAGAUCCUCUGGAAAACCCGCCUGCCUGAGCCUGGCCUCACCCCCACCCCCAACCCCAUCCCCACCCCCACGGCUUCUCUGAAGCCUCUGAGCCUCCUGCCCUGCCCGCAGCCCAGUUUCAGGCUGGCUCUCUUUCAUCUCUGGCCUUACCCUGGCUGUCUCCCUACCACACGGCCAAAUUCCUCUGGAGCAGCCAUCCUGUGGACCAAGCCCACACCCACCGCACCUUCCAAGUGGCCAGCCCAGCCUCCACCCACUUGCGGUCCAUAAGCUGCCUCCCCCAACCCCUCCUCCAGGUCAGCGGUGGCAAGGCUCCAGCUGCAGCCCCAGGGGCGGGGCAGGUGUGCCCAGUGUCACUCACAGCAAAAGCCCCAGCAGGGGCCCAGCAACGCGAACAAGGUGAACCCAGUCAAAGGACAGCCAGCCGGAGCUGGGAGGAGCAGGCUAAGAGUGGGAUUCAGGUGGGCCCUGAGGGGGGCUCCAGCAGCCUCCUGCCUGGAGCCAGACAAGGGCCACAGAGGUUUCUGGGAGUGACACUGCAUUUGCUUCCACUCCAGACACUGUGCCAAGGCUCCGGGUGCCAUGCUUGGUGCUGCCAGCCAUGGCCAGGGCACCUGAGGCCUCACCAGGCCAGAGGAAUCUGCCCACAGCCAAGCCAGUCCCAGUGCUUCACAAGCACAGGCGCUGCUGUCGCUGUGACCGCUGCUACUGUUAUCACUGCGGUUGCUACUACUCCGCUGCCUCAGGGCCACCAGCGUUACCUUGUCCCGUUUGGGCAGCCUUGAGAGGAGGGACCAGAAACCCAACAGGGCAGCCCUCUGGCCUAGGGAGAGCAAGGUGGAGUUUGACGCUCAAGCUCCUGACAAGCUGCGUGGCUCUGCGCAAGAUCUUACCCCUCCCUGGGCACCUUUUCCUCCCAGUACAGCACAGUUCACUGAACAUCCUUCCACCAGGCACAUAUCUCAGGGGGUCCCCUCCUGAGCAACCUGAAGCCCAGGGGUCUGACAUGGCAGUCGGGCAUGGGAGGAGGUCCAGGGAGAGACCAACAAAGUCAGGAUCUGCCCCUUUCACCAAGGGAAGGUCCAUCCCACUCAGGGCUAGGGAGGGGGCUCUGCUCUACCCUCACCUGGACAGGGGCACAAGGUAA